UAGGACUCUCGGCAAUGGAUAUCUUGGCUCUUGCAUCGAUGAAGAACGCAACGAAAUGCGAUACGUGGUGCGAAUUGCAGAAUCCCGUGAACCAUCGAGUUUUUGAACGCAAGUUGCGCCUGAGGCCAACUGGCCGAGGGCACGUCCGCCUGGGCGUCAUGC
This 162-nucleotide ribosomal RNA is filed under the name Megastylis gigas. RNAcentral's name for it is "5.8S ribosomal RNA". It matches the Rfam family "5.8S ribosomal RNA". Rfam says of the family: 5.8S ribosomal RNA (5.8S rRNA) is a component of the large subunit of the eukaryotic ribosome. The record is from RNAcentral. Lineage: Eukaryota; Viridiplantae; Streptophyta; Magnoliopsida; Asparagales; Orchidaceae.